RNAcentral lists this long non-coding RNA (2009 nucleotides) under Sus scrofa (pig). Its description in RNAcentral is "lncRNA (ENSSSCG00035066136.1)". Lineage: Eukaryota; Metazoa; Chordata; Mammalia; Artiodactyla; Suidae. The record is from RNAcentral.
UGGGAGUCGCAGUUCGUCCGGGGCAACUUCUGCCUCUCAGGCUGGUUGCAGCCGGCGCCCCGGGCCAGCGCAGCCUGGGCCCCAGCCAUCCUGCCCCCUCUCCGGCCGGGAGAAGCGGGCGCUGGGCUCUGGGGCUCCCUGAGCCCGCGGAGGCCAGCGCCCAGGGCGCACAAGAAGAGCAGGGGUGGAAGAAGAAAGGAAUUUCAAGGAGGGCAUUGCUUAAAGGGACGUUUGGACAGAGCCAGUUUCGGUGCUGGGCCGCAGCUCAGUGCCUAAUUUUAAUCUCAGGACUGCAGCCUGCGACCCGUGGACGGUCUCCUCAAACUUCUUCCCUCACACCCGAGUCUCUUCCUCCCUAGGAGUCUCCUGGUGCAUGGAACUGACCUGAAACUGGGGUUCCCCAAAGCCUCUGCCUGCCUUCUGCAGCUGAGCUGCUUCAGCCUCUGUGGGACACCCAUUUGAAGGAACCUGUCCAAAUCCAUGUAAGAGAUCUUGUAUUUUUUCCCUCCCAGCUGAGACUUCCUCCUCUGCCAGACACCUGUUCCAAGGAAGCUCCUGCAACUAGGGUGUGGGCUUGUGUCGUGAAGGUUGAGUAUCCAGGGUGACAGUGAAGAAUCCAUACUCCCACCCAAGAGUGGAUUUCAGUGCUGAGAGGAAGAGGAGGAAGACAUCUUGCUGGCUUGUGCCCCAGGUCUGCCUCUGGAGAAACAGGGCAAGCUGGCCCAUGGAACAUGUCACACUCUUGCAACCGGGGCACCUGAUCAGGCUGGAUGUGCCCAUCAGAUGCUGAAGGCACAGCUGCGUCCCUGCCCUGAGGUGAGUCCAUUUGGCCAGAGCAGGAGCGGUGCCCUGUCUCCAACCCAAAUCCAUAAGCAUGUUCUGAGUGUUCCAACUCUUUCUUCAACUCCAUCCCUGAGCCCGGAGUCUCAGCCAGGCGUCUGCCAGGGGCUCUGCCUGGGCUGGGGUUCAGCCUGGUGACCUUCAGUCUAACACCACCUCUCAGCCCUUCCUCCUGUUUCUCAGGAGCCCUAGAAGCUACCCUGGCCUGGGGCCCGGGAAGCUCCAUUUUGUUUCUCCUCAGCUGGGGAGCUGAACGAAUGCCCUCGACACUGGGGUCUUUCUCUCUCAGUCCCCCAGAGCCCUCACCCCAACUUACCCCGCCUCAGUACAUAAAAACCUCUGCAUCUCCACCAUGGGGUACCGAGAGCCUUUAACUCAGUCCCAGCUGCCUUCCCGCCCAGGCCCUUCCCUUAGUUCUGCUCCUUAAAACCACGAUUGCAGACAGGACAUAGAGGUUCAGGUGGAAGGGGAACAAAGACAUUUGGGGAGAACUCCUGAAAGAUAAAGCCCAGGGAAUCCUGUCUGGCCCCCCAAAUAGCACCACUUUUACAAGCUCCAUUCACGACCACUGGCCCCUUUGGACACGUGAUGCCUUUACAGAGGCUGCAGGUUUGGUAGUUUCAAGGCGAAGAUUCAAGACAGAUAUUGGGGGUCCAGUGUCCUUGCCCCUUGAGAAACAAAAAGCAAACCAACCCCAGAGAACACGUCCACCUCUCUGGCCCCUGGGCAACCAGAGCCGGAUGGAACCACCCAUCAGAGGCAGAAGACACACAUCUUUCUGCCCCCUGAGGUCAGUUGAUUUGUGCCAGAGAGUCAGUGGUGCGCUGUGAGCCAUCUUAACACAUCCUAGGGCUCCCACUAACCCGUCUUUGCACCAGCAUCCAGGGGGCUUCAGAUGGGCUUUGUCUGUGCUCUGGCCCCUCCCGGAGGCCGUCUCCUCUAACAAACACUGACUCUCAGCCUUUCCUCCGGUUUCCCUCAGCGGCCCCCCAGGGCUCUCCUGGCCUUGGGCAGCUGCAGGCUUGAAGGAAUUCCUCCUCACCUUCUAAGCCAAGUGAAGUGCCCAGAGAGAGGGGCAAUUCUCUCAAAGACUCCCAGCACACACCCCAACCGACCCCAACGUAAGGCCUUAAACCCUCUGUUUUCUCCACCCACAUGUGCCAUGAGAG